GCCCGUGUGGCGGAAUGGUAGACGCUACAGACUUAAAAUCUGUUGUCCUUAAGGAUGUGUGGGUUCGAGUCCCUUCACGGGCACCA
Molecule: transfer RNA, 86 nt
Filed under: Holosporaceae bacterium
Lineage: Bacteria; Pseudomonadati; Pseudomonadota; Alphaproteobacteria; Holosporales; Holosporaceae
Description: tRNA-Leu
Rfam family: tRNA
About the family: Transfer RNA (tRNA) molecules are approximately 80 nucleotides in length.
Source: RNAcentral